Molecule: small RNA, 1157 nt
Filed under: Pongo abelii (Sumatran orangutan)
Lineage: Eukaryota; Metazoa; Chordata; Mammalia; Primates; Hominidae
Description: retained intron
Source: RNAcentral
GGUGCACACAGCUCCACUAAAGAGCUGGAAGAGGCCGCUGGAGUAGUCGUGAGACGGCUGAUCCAGGAAGGACUGCGGUAUAUUAAUAUGGAAAAGGCCUGUUUGUUUGUGCUUGGAGAGGAAGGAGCCAGAGGAGAGGGGAGCAAGGUGGGCGGGAGCUGGGGAGAGCCUGCAGCAAGAUCUGCAGAGCCCGAGGCACUCUCGGCCUGGGCCCUGGAGAGGACGUGGGGAGCCCCGGCCCACCCCGCCCGCGAACAGCCAGCGCCGGAGGAGCGCCGGGAGACUCUGCCGUCGGUGCGUGCGCGGACCCGCACCCGUCCCCCUUGACCCCGCCGCCCGCCAUGGCCGCCGCGGCGGCCGCCCCCCGCAGCCUCCUUGUUCUCCUCCAGGUGCUAGUGCUCGCUCUGGCGCAGAUCAGAGGUCCACCGGGAGAGCGGGGCCCCCCGGGGCCCCCGGGACCGCCGGGAGUGCCUGGAUCCGACGGCGUCGACGCGGCGCCGGCCCGCACCACAAGGACGCCGUUUGUUCUGCAAAAACCUCAAACCAGCCCUGACAUGCGGAGCCCGUUAUAGCCGCCGACGGACAAGGAGCUGCUGUUCAGUCCGCCGGCCGCAGCUCACAGCAAGGCCUCAUCCCCCUCCUCUCCUUUCCCCUCCUUGUGGAGUAGGAGGCGCCUCAACCCCUCACCCUGCCUCUGGCACAUCUGGGCGCUUCUUCAGGGUGACAAGGGGCCCCCUGGAAAAGCUGGCCCUCCGGGACCCAAGGGCGAGCCUGGCAAAGCUGGGCCAGAUGGGCCAGACGGGAAGCCCGGGAUUGAUGGUUUAACUGGAGCCAAGGGGGAGCCUGGCCCCAUGGGGAUCCCUGGAGUCAAGGGCCAGCCCGGGCUUCCUGGUCCUCCUGGCCUUCCGGGCCCUGGUUUUGCUGGACCUCCUGUAAGUCCUCAGGGAUGGGGCAGGAUCCCCAGAACUCCCAGGGAAGGAGGGACAACAGAAAGGCUUCGAGGGAAUGGCUACCAUGGGGAGGAGCCAGCUUGCUGUGAUAGUGUCAGGAAUAAGUGGACCUGCCAGAGACCCAGGGCCAGCCCACUCUGGGCCUGUCCACUGGCUCUGCAAUUCUCUGGUCCUUAAAGCCUCAGUCUGUCAGUCCCUCUGCAGUUG